This 537-nucleotide ribosomal RNA is filed under the name uncultured bacterium. RNAcentral describes it as "bacterial SSU rRNA". It matches the Rfam family "Bacterial small subunit ribosomal RNA", at positions 974 to 1509 of the family's 1533-position model. The record is from RNAcentral.
CCCGGCCUUGACAUACUAAGAACUUUCCAGAGAUGGAUUGGUGCCUUCGGGAACUUAGAUACAGGUGCUGCAUGGCUGUCGUCAGCUCGUGUCGUGAGAUGUUGGGUUAAGUCCCGNAACGAGCGCAACCCUUUUCCUUAUUUGCCAGCGGGUCAUGCCGGGAACUUUAAGGAUACUGCCAGUGACAAACUGGAGGAAGGCGGGGACGACGUCAAGUCAUCAUGGCCCUUACGGCCAGGGCUACACACGUGCUACAAUGGUCGGUACAAAGGGUUGCUACCUCGCGAGAGGAUGCUAAUCUCAAAAAAGCCGAUCGUAGUCCGGAUCGCAGUCUGCAACUCGACUGCGUGAAGUCGGAAUCGCUAGUAAUCGCGGAUCAGAAUGCCGCGGUGAAUACGUUCCCGGGCCUUGUACACACCGCCCGUCACACCAUGGGAGUUUGUUGCACCAGAAGUAGGUAGUCUAACCGCAAGGAGGACGCUUACCACGGUGUGGCCGAUGACUGGGGUGAAGUCGUAACAAGGUAAGCGUAGAUGA